RNAcentral lists this unclassified non-coding RNA (153 nucleotides) under uncultured Pleosporales. Its description in RNAcentral is "sequence contains ITS2". Lineage: Eukaryota; Fungi; Ascomycota; Dothideomycetes; Pleosporales. The record is from RNAcentral.
GUACCCUCCAGCCCUGCUGGGUGUUGGGCGUUUGUUCCGCUGUACGCGUGAACUCGCCUCAAAUGCAUUGGCAGCCCGCCGUCCCGUGUGGGAGCGCAGCACAUUUUGCGUUCUCCACUGCUGAUGGUGGCAUCCAUAAGUCUACAUUUUUAC